CACCACUCAAGCCUGGCUUGGUAUUGGGCGUCCGCGGCCGCUUCACGCGACCGCGCGCUCUAAUGUCUUCGGCUGAGCCGUCCGUCUCUAAGCGUUGUGGUCUUUUCAGAUUCGCUUGCGAGGCUGGGCUGGUUCGAUCGCCGUUAAACACCCCUCUUUCAA
This 162-nucleotide unclassified non-coding RNA is filed under the name uncultured Capnodiales. RNAcentral describes it as "sequence contains ITS2". Lineage: Eukaryota; Fungi; Ascomycota; Dothideomycetes; Capnodiales. The record is from RNAcentral.